Molecule: non-coding RNA, 94 nt
Organism: Cerioporus squamosus
Lineage: Eukaryota; Fungi; Basidiomycota; Agaricomycetes; Polyporales; Polyporaceae
Source: the annotation of a GenBank genome assembly
UCUCUGUUAGUAUAUCGGUUAGUACACGCGCCUGUCAUCACUUAGGUUGGCCAUAAUACCGCGCGAAAGCGGGGUUCGACUCCCCGACAGAGAG